This 233-nucleotide unclassified non-coding RNA is filed under the name soil metagenome. RNAcentral describes it as "partial internal transcribed spacer 1". The record is from RNAcentral.
UUGAAUUUUAACUGAAGAGUUUGGUUGUAGCUGGCCCAUUCAUUUGGGCAUGUGCACACCUUCCUCUUUCAUCCCACACACACCUGUGAACCUGUGAGACAGAGAUGGGGAAUUUACUUGCUGCUUUUUGGAAUACAAAGGCAAUAGGUUAUUGGACCCCCCCUCUGUCUACUCAAUUAAUAUAAACUCAAUUUAUUUUAAAACGAAUGUAAUGGAUGUAACACAUCUCAUAC